Molecule: ribosomal RNA, 610 nt
Filed under: uncultured Paracoccaceae bacterium
Lineage: Bacteria; Pseudomonadati; Pseudomonadota; Alphaproteobacteria; Rhodobacterales; Paracoccaceae
Description: bacterial SSU rRNA
Rfam family: Bacterial small subunit ribosomal RNA
Source: RNAcentral
GAGUUUGAUUCUGGCUCAGAACGAACGCUGGCGGCAGGCCUAACACAUGCAAGUCGAGCGCACCUUCGGGUGAGCGGCGGACGGGUGAGUAACGCGUGGGAAUAUGCCCUUUUCUACGGAAUAGCCUCGGGAAACUGAGAGUAAUACCGUAUACGCCCUUCGGGGGAAAGAUUUAUCGGAAAAGGAUUAGCCCGCGUUGGAUUAGGUAGUUGGUGGGGUAAUGGCCUACCAAGCCGACGAUCCGUAGCUGGUCUGAGAGGAUGAUCAGCCACACUGGGACUGAGACACGGCCCAGACUCCUACGGGAGGCAGCAGUGGGGAAUAUUGGACAAUGGGGGCAACCCUGAUCCAGCAAUGCCGCGUGUGUGAAGAAGGCCCUAGGGUUGUAAAGCACUUUCGCCCGUGAAGAUGAUGACGGUAACGGGAGAAGAAGCUCCGGCUAACUCCGUGCCAGCAGCCGCGGUAAUACGGAGGGGGCGAGCGUUGUUCGGAAUUACUGGGCGUAAAGCGCACGUAGGCGGCGCGUCGAGUUAGAGGUGAAAGGCCUGGGCUUAACCUGGGAACGGCCUUUAAUACUGGCGUGCUGGAGUCCGGGAGGGGUGGCGGAAUU